This 894-nucleotide ribosomal RNA is filed under the name uncultured Mycobacterium sp. Its description in RNAcentral is "bacterial SSU rRNA". It matches the Rfam family "Bacterial small subunit ribosomal RNA", at positions 8 to 916 of the family's 1533-position model. The record is from RNAcentral. Lineage: Bacteria; Bacillati; Actinomycetota; Actinomycetes; Mycobacteriales; Mycobacteriaceae.
AGAGUUUGAUCCUGGCUCAGGACGAACGCUGGCGGCGUGCUUAACACAUGCAAGUCGAACGGUAAGGCCCUUUCGGGGUACACGAGUGGCGAACGGGUGAGUAACACGUGGGUGAUCUGCCCUGCACUUCGGGAUAAGCCUGGGAAACUGGGUCUAAUACCGGAUAGGACUCCGGACUGCAUGGUCUGGGGUGGAAAGCUUUUGCGGUGUGGGAUGGGCCCGCGGCCUAUCAGCUUGUUGGUGGGGUGAUGGCCUACCAAGGCGACGACGGGUAGCCGGCCUGAGAGGGUGACCGGCCACACUGGGACUGAGAUACGGCCCAGACUCCUACGGGAGGCAGCAGUGGGGAAUAUUGCACAAUGGGCGCAAGCCUGAUGCAGCGACGCCGCGUGAGGGAUGACGGCCUUCGGGUUGUAAACCUCUUUCAGCAUCGACGAAGCGAAAGUGACGGUAGGUGCAGAAGAAGGACCGGCCAACUACGUGCCAGCAGCCGCGGUAAUACGUAGGGUCCGAGCGUUGUCCGGAAUUACUGGGCGUAAAGAGCUCGUAGGUGGUUUGUCGCGUUGUUCGUGAAAACCCACAACUCAAUUGUGGGCGUGCGGGCGAUACGGGCAGACUGGAGUACUGCAGGGGAGACUGGAAUUCCUGGUGUAGCGGUGGAAUGCGCAGAUAUCAGGAGGAACGCCGGUGGCGAAGGCGGGUCUCUGGGCAGUAACUGACGCUGAGGAGCGAAAGCGUGGGGAGCGAACAGGAUUAGAUACCCUGGUAGUCCACGCCGUAAAUGGUGGGUACUAGGUGUGGGUUUCCUUCCUUGGGAUCCGUGCCGUAGCUAACGCAUUAAGUACCCCGCCUGGGGAGUACGGCCGCAAGGCUAAAACUCAAAGGAAUUGACGG